UACGGAGGGUGCAAGCGUUAUCCGGAUUUACUGGGUUUAAAGGGUGCGUAGGUGGGUAGGUAAGUCAGUGGUGAAAUCUUCGAGCUUAACUCGGAAACUGCCAUUGAUACUAUUUAUCUUGAAUACUUUGGAGGUAAGCGGAAUAUGUCAUGUAGCGGUGAAAUGCUUAGAUAUCAGGAGGAACACCAAUAGCGAAGGCAGCUCGCUGGGACGUUACUGACACUGAGGCGCGAAAGCGUGGGGAGCGAACAGG
Molecule: ribosomal RNA, 253 nt
Filed under: uncultured bacterium
Lineage: Bacteria
Description: partial 16S ribosomal RNA
Rfam family: Bacterial small subunit ribosomal RNA
Source: RNAcentral